Esox lucius (northern pike) is the source of this 1094-nucleotide long non-coding RNA. Lineage: Eukaryota; Metazoa; Chordata; Actinopteri; Esociformes; Esocidae. The record is from Ensembl.
AUUCCUAUUUGUGGUCCUUGGCAAGAGGAGAUGAGGUGGGAUGGAGACAGGGAAUGGGGUGGAGGGCUGAACAGGGUAUCAAGGGCUAGCCCUGUCCUCCAUGUUCCCAGGUAAACAUGUGUUAUUAUAAAAUUCAUUAUGAUUGGUGAAUCCAAACAGUUGGCCACUCAUUGGCUUUUAUGCACAUGAUAAAAGUAGAGUUAGAUUUGCUAUUCAUAUAUAACCUCGGCAUUAAUAAAUGCAAUGUAUAGCCUAAUUAUACAACUUUUAAUGAAUAAGUAAGGGAAUCUUAGGAUUCCAACCCCACAGCUCUAUCCCACCAAUCCUCUCUUCACGAGGUUUUAUAAAGGGGCGGAGACAUGCUUCAGCCCUGCUUCUAUUGGUCCCCCCUUCCUCUGCCUGUAAGUUGUUGCCACGCCCCUCAUGUUUUGCGGCUCAGUAUGACGUCACUCCACAAAAGAGGCUGCUGCAUGUAAUUUUCAAAGGAAACACAUAUUAUAUAGAGAAAUAUAUAUAUAGAAAUAGAUGGCUAUGAUUUUAUUAUUUUCUAUUAUCAUUUUACUUCAUGACUCGCACAGGAGAUAUUUGUAUGUACCGUCUCUGCCAAGCAUCUUCUACAUAUUACACCUCCGCACUCCACAAGACAGUGGUGUUGUACGACGUUAACUAAUCCUCUUAGAUAUUUGUAAAUGCUACAGUGUGAUGCCCUUGAACGCAACUUUGUUUGAUUUCAUUUGAUCGAAGUAUUGUUUUUGUUUUCGAGAACAAGUAAAGAAAAGAAAAUGGAGAAAAAAAAAUAUUUGUGUCUGGCUUUGACAUUAUGAUCUAACUAACAGUGUAAUAUUGUAACUGAAAUAUGUAUGAUCCUACAAUGAGCUUUUUGCCUCCCUUUCACCCCCUUUCAACAGAAAAAAAGGAAAAACUAUGAAAAAAAUGUAUUCCAAUGUAAAAAAAUGGUAUAUGUAUUGUAUGCUUGUAUUUAGUGAGCGUUCACGCUGUCAUUCUUUAUCAGUGUAUGGUGGUGACCAAUGGUGGCGCUGUACUGUCCCACUGGUCAGUACAGAUCUGUUGUAAAACCUUUUUUGUACACCUGC